This 253-nucleotide ribosomal RNA is filed under the name uncultured bacterium. RNAcentral's name for it is "partial 16S ribosomal RNA". It matches the Rfam family "Bacterial small subunit ribosomal RNA", at positions 524 to 776 of the family's 1533-position model. The record is from RNAcentral.
UACAGAGGUCCCAAGCGUUGUUCGGAUUCACUGGGCGUAAAGGGUGCGCAGGUGGGUUUGCAAGUUUGAUGUGAAAGCCCCGGGCUUAACCCGGGAAUGGCAUUGAAUACUGCAGAUCUGGAGGAUUGGAGGGGAGACUGGAAUUCCCGGUGUAGCGGUGAAAUGCGCAGAUAUCGGGAGGAACACCAGCGGCGAAGGCGGCACUCUGGGCUGGAACUGACGCUGAGGAGCGAAAGCGUGGGUAGCAAACAGG